This 73-nucleotide microRNA precursor is filed under the name Drosophila busckii. RNAcentral describes it as "mir-6 microRNA precursor family". It matches the Rfam family "mir-6 microRNA precursor family". From Rfam's summary of the family: This family consists of the microRNA (miRNA) precursor mir-6 which appears to be Drosophila specific. Animal miRNAs are transcribed as ~70nt precursors and subsequently processed by the Dicer enzyme to give a ~22nt product. In this case the mature sequence comes from the 3' arm of the precursor. The record is from Rfam by way of RNAcentral. Lineage: Eukaryota; Metazoa; Arthropoda; Insecta; Diptera; Drosophilidae.
AACCGCAGGGAACUGCUGCUGCUGAUAUAUUUUUAUUUACUGACCUAUAUCACAGUGGCUGUUCUUUUUGGUU